RNAcentral lists this ribosomal RNA (253 nucleotides) under uncultured bacterium. RNAcentral describes it as "partial 16S ribosomal RNA". It matches the Rfam family "Bacterial small subunit ribosomal RNA", at positions 524 to 776 of the family's 1533-position model. The record is from RNAcentral.
GACAGAGGUGCCGAGCGUUAGGCGGAAUCACUGGGCUUAAAGCGUGUGUAGGCGGGCGGGCAAGUACCUUGUGAAAUCCCACGGCUCAACCGUGGAACGGCUGGGUAUACUGCCUGUCUUGAGCCAGCUAGGGGCGAGCGGAACUGACGGUGGAGCGGUGAAAUGCGUAGAUAUCGUCUGGAACGCCGAAGGUGAAAACAGCUCGCUGGGGCUGUGCUGACGCUGAGACACGAAAGCCAGGGGAGCGAACGGG